UUUCACGGCCUUCUGCCAGCCCUCAGGCUCCCAGGCUACUUCCAGCCCUGUACGGAAAAGGGCAGCCUGGGGCUCCCAGGCCAAGGGGGAAGGAGAUGCAGAGCUGUGCAGCAUUCUACUCCAAUGAUCAAGGACUCAGAAGAUCUUGUAUCUGGAAACUCAUGCUCCACCUGCAGCAGACCAGAGACCCUGGGGAAAUUCAU
Molecule: long non-coding RNA, 203 nt
Filed under: Homo sapiens (human)
Lineage: Eukaryota; Metazoa; Chordata; Mammalia; Primates; Hominidae
Description: HSALNT0221488
Source: RNAcentral